UCCGAGUUGACCCCGGCAGUCUCCCACGAGUCCCCGCCAUUACGCGCUGGCAACAUAGGAUAAGGGUUGCGCUCGUUGCGGGACUUAACCCAACACCUCACGGCACGAGCUGACGACAACCAUGCAGCACCUGUCCUGGUGCCCCGAAGGGGGCCCCCUGUUUCCAGAGGGUUUCACCAGGAUGUCAAACCCAGGUAAGGUUCUUCGCGUUGCUUCGAAUUAAACCACAUGCUCCACCGCUUGUGCGGGCCCCCGUCAAUUCCUUUGAGUUUCAGCCUUGCGGCCGUACUCCCCAGGCGGGGCACUUAACGCGUUAGCUGCGGCACCGAAGGGGUCGUUCCCCCCGGCACCUAGUGCCCAUCGUUUACGGCGUGGACUAC
Molecule: unclassified non-coding RNA, 380 nt
Filed under: uncultured bacterium
Lineage: Bacteria
Description: contains 16S-23S intergenic spacer region
Source: RNAcentral